UCCAGGGUAGCCUGGUGAGCAUGGCAUCUGCCCGGUAGGCGGAAGGUCGUGGGUUCGUUUCCCAUCCCUGGAC
Cordylochernes scorpioides is the source of this 73-nucleotide non-coding RNA. NCBI's taxonomy places the organism in Eukaryota, Metazoa, Arthropoda, Arachnida, Pseudoscorpiones, Chernetidae. The record is from the annotation of a GenBank genome assembly.